This 492-nucleotide ribosomal RNA is filed under the name uncultured bacterium. Its description in RNAcentral is "partial 16S ribosomal RNA". It matches the Rfam family "Bacterial small subunit ribosomal RNA", at positions 29 to 507 of the family's 1533-position model. The record is from RNAcentral.
AGUGAACGCUGGCGGUAGGCCUAACACAUGCAAGUCGAACGGCAGCACAGUAAGAGCUUGCUCUUACGGGUGGCGAGUGGCGGACGAGUGAGGAAUACAUCGGAAUCUACUUUUUCGUGGGGGAUAACGUAGGGAAACUUACGCUAAUACCGCAUACGACCUACGGGUGAAAGCAGGGGAUCUUCGGACCUUGCGCGAUUGAAUGAGCCGAUGUCGGAUUAGCUAGUUGGCGGGGUAAAGGCCCACCAAGGCGACGAUCCGUAGCUGGUCUGAGAGGAUGAUCAGCCACACUGGAACUGAGACACGGUCCAGACUCCUACGGGAGGCAGCAGUGGGGAAUAUUGGACAAUGGGCGCAAGCCUGAUCCAGCCAUACCGCGUGGGUGAAGAAGGCCUUCGGGUUGUAAAGCCCUUUUGUUGGGAAAGAAAAGCAGCGGGUUAAUACCCCGCUGUUCUGACGGUACCCAAAGAAUAAGCACCGGCUAACUUCGUG